ACGAGUUUUAAUUGUUAGGUUAGAGUUGAGCUGGUUAAUCUAAUUAAUAUGUGCUUACUCUAAUCGAAACAAGUCCACUCAUUACUUAACACUUGUGAACUUAUUCAUUACAAACAUUAUUAUUUGUUAUUGGAACGUUUGAUUAUUAAAAAGUUAAUACAACUUUCAACAACGGAUCUCUUGGCUCUCGCAUCGAUGAAGAACGCAGCGAAAUGCGAUAAGUAAUGUGAAUUGCAGAAUUCAGUGAAUCAUCGAAUCUUUGAACGCACCUUGCGCUCCCUGGUAUUCCGGGGAGCAUGCCUGUCUGAGUGUCGUGAAGUUAUCAUGGUCAUGAUCUUUAAUUAAUCAUGGCUUGGAUUUGGAGGUUUAUGUUGGCUUUCUUAAGUUGACUCCUCUUAAAUAUAUUAGCUCGGUGUCUUAAUACUUAGAGCGGUUCACGGUGUGAUAAUUAUCUACACUUCAACUAAUCUAAGUUAAGCCGGCUUCUAAUAGAUCCUUGGUGAUCACUUUGUGAAUUUGACCUCAAAUCAGGUAGGACUACCCGCUGAACUUAAGCAUAUCAAUAAGCGGAGGAUCGUAGCCUUGGUCAUUUAGAGGAAGUAAAAGUCGUAACAAGGUUUCCGUAGGUGAACCUGCGGAAGGAUCAUUAAAAGAUAUAGCAUAUUCUUCUGAAUAUACUUUAUUAACCCAUUCCGAGUACCUUACCCGUUGCUUCCGCGAGGCUGUCCUCACGGCCCUCUGAAGAUUUAUCUUUGGGGAGUCCUUGCGGAAGGUAUACAAUAAACUCUUGCAUUACCAUGUCAUCUGUCUGAAUCUGUUUAAAACAAAUAUUA
RNAcentral lists this unclassified non-coding RNA (833 nucleotides) under soil metagenome. RNAcentral's name for it is "partial contains internal transcribed spacer 1, 5.8S ribosomal RNA, and internal transcribed spacer 2". The stretch from base 161 to 314 matches the Rfam family "5.8S ribosomal RNA". The record is from RNAcentral.